Molecule: long non-coding RNA, 253 nt
Filed under: Brassica rapa (field mustard)
Lineage: Eukaryota; Viridiplantae; Streptophyta; Magnoliopsida; Brassicales; Brassicaceae
Description: long non-coding RNA (BRAP_LNC008122)
Source: RNAcentral
UUUUUCAAAUUUUCUUGAAUCAAAUGCAAGAAACUUCUUCUCUUUUGUUUUUCUUUUCUUAAGAACAAUAACAAUACAAAAACUGUUUUUAUGGCUUUUCGGUUUAUGAUGAAAACAAAUGCAAGCAAAUGAAAUAUGAUGCAAGGAUAGAUAUCACCUUAGUCAGGAGCUUGAGCUCUGAUACCAAAAUGUUGUAGGCACAGGGGGGGUAACCCACGAAUUGGUUGAAUGGUGGAACCAAGGUUUAAACCUG